Molecule: long non-coding RNA, 6058 nt
Organism: Amphiprion ocellaris (clown anemonefish)
Lineage: Eukaryota; Metazoa; Chordata; Actinopteri; Pomacentridae
Exons: 3
Source: RefSeq, a predicted model, not a curated record
UGUGUCGUGACGAAGCAGUGACGCGGACCGAAGCGGGAUUAUCGAUGUUCAGAGGGAGAUGAUGCCACAUCUGGUCCAGGUGAUGGAAGGUCUUGAAGUUCUCUGACUGGCCUGGACUGAAGAUGGUCGUCUCACUGGAUUUAAGGUUCAGAUGCUCAGUAACAAACUCCACCAAUGAGCCAACAGGGAAGCUUUAGGUUUAUUAAAUGUUGCUAUGAAGGUUUCGCUGUUUUUCUUUGUGAAUGCAAUGUGCUCCAGCUGAAACUUGAAUUAGAACUUAGAAGUAAAUCCUUCCAUCUGAAAGGAUUUAGUUGCAUUAAUAACCUCAUAACAUUCUAAUUUUUAUUCCAGUCUUGGUUGGAAAUAGAAUCUCUGUAUUGAUUCAGGUAAAAACUGAACUUCACAGCAUGUUGGAGCAAAACAACCAGAUGAAAACUGUGAUGGUGUUGGAUUGUCAGACCGUAAUGUUGCAGCUCAAAGCAGCUUUUCUAGCUCAGUUCAUUCUGACAUUCAGCUAUGAAUCAACACAGCAGAUGGUGAUCCAUGCUGUGGAAAUCUCACAUCUCCUGAUUUAAUGGAGCUGCUUUACACUUUUUGCACUGUUUAUUCACCAACACUUUAUUUGAUAAAAGUCCCAUCUAGUUUUCAUGAGGAAUGUGAUGUUUUAAUUUCUCUGUGAAUAACUGCAGUCUAAUGGAACAGCUGGAGUUGUAACAUCUGUCCUGAUAAUGAUCAUGAAGUAUUGAUCAGAAUACUUAUGGUCAGCAGUCAUCCCUGAAGUUUUACAUUCAAAUCUUUACUUGUGUUGUGAACUUUGGUAAGAAGCAUAAACUUUAGUGUUGCCAUGGAUACAUGAGUGUUAAAUUCUGUCCAUGUUUCCAUUUUGGGAAAUUCAGUCCAGCAGAUGAGUUUGUUUUUACUGCCAGCUACCAUUCAGUCUGAGAUAUUAAGAAUAAAUAAAUGUGCAUAAUGUGGAAAUGAACAGAUUCUAUUUUUAUUUAUUCCUACAGCUGCUGCAGGGAAAGACCAGGCUUAAAACCUUCCUUUUUGACAAAGCUUAUAGUUAGGGCUGACUGGGGGACCCUGACGGGGUAUGCUGGUGUUUUCAUUUGCAAAACUGACUUCCCCUCUUGACGUCCCUUUAGUUUGCCCCUAGUUAUGCUGCUAUAGGCCUAGACUGCUGGGGAACCUCUCUGGAUGCACUGAGCUCUUCUCUAACUACCUAUGUAUUUACUACAUAUACCAUUAUUGCAUUACACUCACUCUGUUUCUCCCUGUGUCCUUUAUCUGCAUGUCCCUGGUCCCCUCUACCUCCACCUCUCUAUCUCUACCCCUCUAUCUCUACCUCUAUCCCUCUAUCUCUACCUUUCUACCUCUUCUGUCCCUCUCAACCCGCCUGGCCAGCAGCAGAUGGUUCCCCCACAUUAGAGCCGGGUUCUGCUCGAGGUUUUUUUCCCUGUUAAAGGGUGUUUUCCUGCCACUGUCUCCUGAGGGCUGCUCUGGGGGUUCAGGCAUAUGGGUUCUGUAAAGCGUCUUGUGACAAUUUGACUGUAAUUUGUGCUAUAUAAAUAAAAUUGAAUUGAAGUAAAGUUCCACAAUGUGCGGGAAUUUAGUCUCACAAUCACAGACUAUAAAUAUUAUUUCAAAGUCGGGUUAUUGUUGUUUAUCAGCACAAUACAAAAAGAUUAAUGUUGGACAUAUUCCAGUUAAGACUCUAGAAUAUCAUGAUUUAUAUAAAUUUACCUCAAUAAUAUGAAUGUUCAGGUUAAGAUUGUGCAGUGAUAUUUAUUAUGUAAGUUUAGCUGAUUAAAGUUUAUGACUCUGCACUACAAUAUUAUUUAUUACUUAGAUUUACAUCAUUAUUAUAAUAUUUAGGGUCAGACUCUACAGGAUUGAGAUUAAGAAAUCAAAUAUUCUAUAAAAUGUAGAUACACAACUCAUUUGGAUAUAUUUAAGUGAGACUCAACAAUAUUAUUUGAGACACAAAUCUAUCUAACUAAUCCAAAUUUUACUCAUUUUUACUCCAAACAUUUACUGGACUGAUUUAAAUAUUAAAAUCACUCCUUUCUAAUCCUCUGCUGUACGUUCAAACCUGAGGCCUUAAAUAGAAACACACAAGUAUCUGAUUGAAGGAACUUCUGCAGAGUCCUGGUUCCAGAACAUGAUAGAAUUAUAGACAAACUUUAACAAAAGCUGCCUGAGAGUUUACAGGUUUUUAUGUUGGAUUUCUUCAGUAAUUUAAUGAGUUAUCAGCAAAAAUCAAGUGUUCAUUUGAUGAACUUCAUUUCCUAAAACAUCCAGAAUUGGAGCUCAUAUCUUUGGCAGCUGUAAAGUUUCUGCUCCUUCAAAGUUCACAACACAAUGAAUGAAUUCCUAAAACACUCUCAAUGCUGGAGAGCGUUUGUGAUGCUGAAGCAGUGAUCAGUUUUUCUGUUUCUUCUCUGGAGAUGCACAAUGAGGGACGUCUGCAGAGACUGAGAAAGAGUCUCACCACAUCCUGACAUGAGGAAAAAGACUUUAUUGAAGACUACAAGGAGAAAAACUAUCAGACAGCAGACGGCUGCAUUCAAGUCUGUAGCUGCUGAAUUCAUGGAUGAAUCAUCUGGCACUAGAGAGGAAGACCAUCAAACAUCCACGUCAGCUGAUGGAGGUCCAAGAGUCUCACCCAACAAACAACCUACAGAGUGAAGACCUCCAAUCUGAUUGGACGGCCUCCUAUUCAGACACGUGUGAACAAAUGCCUCUAAGCUGAUUUGUUUUCAAAAAUAAAUCUAGUUUGAGUCCUAAUCUAUGCCUGUGUGUUUGCUUCUUUACAUCGCUGUUAACAGUUUAGGCUGUUAGAUUGUUCCAGAUAAGACAAGUACAAGAUUCUUCAGAGCUGUUCUACCACGAGCCUGACAGGAAGAACUCCAACAGCUACUGAAUGUUCCUGUGGUUCCCUCAAUGCUACAGGAGGAGCCCUACGAGGACGAGCCGGUCCACCUGAUGGCGGCCAGUCGCUGCGGUUCAAAGCCAACACCGACUACGUGGACUUCUACUGGACCACAUGGAGGCCUUCAAACCGGACCAACAAGUUCAGCGACUCCCCGACUCGUGGGUCUGAGGACGCCGCCGAGCCUCGGUCCAGCCGGCCUCCUGUCUGUGGGUGUUUGAGUGCUGAGAGGUUUGUGGAUGUAAGUGAACGUUCUGUGUUGAAACAGCAGCUUUGGACUCAGUAACGCUGGGAAAAACCAAGAGCUCCUUUAUUUGUGACUUCCACUAAAAAAACUGAAGAAAAUAAGUUUGCCAGGGUUCUGACUGAUAACAGAUUAUUAAAUAAUGAAAAUAAUAGUUUAAAUAUUCCUUUAAACAAUCCUUUUAGGUCAACAUUUCCUUUACACUGACUUCUUGGUAUAUGUACAAGUAUUUUGGGUGGAAUAUACCAUUAAGCCCAAUGUUCAAGGGUUCUUCUGGGAAUAUACCAUUAAACCAACCUCUUAGGUAAAUGUUCCAGAAUGUUGGGUAGAAUAUACCAUCAGAUAAACCUUUUAGGUCUACAAUGGAAGAUUUUAAAGUAGAAUAUUACUCCAAACCAUCCUUUAGGUCUACAGUUAAGGUGGAAUACUCCUUUACACCAAGAUUUUUUGGUCUACAUUGAAGGAUUUUAGGUGGAAUAUUCCUUUUAACAAACUUUUUAAGUUUAUGUUCAAGGAUGUUGGGUGGAAUAUACCAUCAGACCAACCUCCAAGGUCUACAGUAGUGAAUUUUAGGUGGAAUAUACCAUUAAACUCAUCUUUUAGGUCUACAUUGGAGGAUUUUAGGUGGAAUUUUCUUCCAAACCGUCUUUCAGUCUACAUGUAAGGAUGUUUAGGAUGGUAUAUUCUUCCAAACCAACUUCUCAGGUCUACAUUUCAGGUGGAAUAUUCCUCCAUAAUAACUUUUUUUGUCUACAUUGAAGGAUUUUUUCUAAACCACCCUUUGGGGUCUAUAUUUGAGGUUUUAGGUGGAAUAUUCCUUUUAACCAGCCCCUCAGGUCUCUGAGGAUUUUGGAUGGAAUACUCGGUUAAACCAACAUUUUAGGUGCAUGUCCAAGGAUUUUUGGUGGAAUGUUCCUUUAAGGUGGAUGUGUGAGGACCUUGUACGUGGAAUACUUCCUGAAACCAACCUAAAUUUCAUGUUUUUUCAAACAUCAAGUGAAAAACCUCCAUCCAGACUCCUCAUAAUGAUGUUUGAGAUUUAUGCUGCUGUUAUUUGUUUAGUCCAGACUAAAUGACAGAAAUCUUUGUCAGUUUGCAUCAGUUCUAUUCAGAUAUUUGACGCCACAGCCCAAAAAAACACGGCAGCUAAAGGUCAACAUGUCCAUGGAGAUGAGGUAAACGCAUCGUGUUACAAACUGCAUUUGACGUUUCAGAUGUGUUUCUGUCUUUGUGCUUGUUGGGAAUGUCUAAUUAUUCCAGGAAGUGAAAACUGGAUGCAACAGGUUUGGACUUCUACCCCCAAAGACGAUCCCACAGACCUGGCAGUGGUAGAUCUGAGGUCCAUGUCGGUACGAGGACUAACUUUAAAGCUUUAUUCUUUCUGGAAAAAAACAUCUUUGACCUGCUGUCCCUGUUCAGCUGUUUGUUGUGGAAACCUUUGGAAGAACAUCAGAUUUUCCUCCUGCUGAUGGUAAGACGUGCAGUUUACUAAUUUAAACUUUCAGGAAUGAUGUGUUCAUGGGUCCGUCAGUGAAUCUAACUGGUUGGUUUGUUCUGUGAUGAGGAAUGAGGAACCCGGGUUAUUACCCAGAUUACAAUGAUGGUUCUACUAUGGAACCAGUUUGACAUGUUCAGGUGUUCUUUGUGUGAAAACUCAGAGAUUUCAGGGAUCAGAAGGUGGUUUUCAACUUUCUUUGUUAACUUUCUGCUUCAACUUUAAACUAAAUUUCCUUCAGUAACCCAGCCCUCUGGACUUCCAGGAAGCUGUGCUCCGAUUGGCUGUCCAGGUGGCUGUGUUCCUAUUGGCUGUCCAGGUGGCUGCUUGGUGUUAUCAGUAACACCUGAGCAGCUCAGUGUCUUCCUGCUUUAUUUAGCUGCAGACAAACAUUUCCUCUGUUUCUCUUCACCAGUGAACUGGGUUUGGCUCCAUUGCUUCAGUUUGUUCUUUAGGUGUUGGCUUGCAGCUUCCAGCAGUAAAAUCAUCUUUAAUGUGUUUCUUGGUGUGUUUUAGGGCUUUGUACUGGAUAGUUGUCUUGGUAAAUGUGGUUCUUCAGCCACAGUUAGCACAUGGUGCUAAUGUGUGCAGUGAUUAGUGGAUUUGGUGCAGCUGAGUUGUGUCUUUAUCUCGGCUGUAGUGAGUCUUUAGAGGUUUUUGCUCAGACACAUUCUGUAUUCUUGUGAACCAGCGUUGGUUGUCCAGAAGGUAAGAGUUCCUGUCCUGAUUCUCUGUUCUCAGAGGUUCUCUGGUAGGCUGCAGGAGACUUUAGCGUUUGGGUUGUGCUAGUUUGGUUUUUGUAUGGUUUCAUUUGGACGAUUAUCUUGAGGCCCCUCCAUGUGGUUUAGUGAGGUUUUCUGGAACAGUUCUACAAAGCAACCUGCAGCAGAAGAGACUUUGAGAGUUUUUAGGAAGUUCUGGAGACCAGACUUUAGAGCAGCAGAAACAUUUGUCAGCAGUUUGAGCAGGAGAAGGUGAUCUUCAGAGUAGAAAUGAGACAGAAACCUUCUUGACCCGUGUGGUGAGGUCCUGUACCAAGAGUUUGAGCAGGUUGUGAAGAGUCUGUAGUUCUUUGUUCUGAAAGCACAAGAAGAGUCGACUCAUUAAAGGAGAAAACAGGAGAUAUUGUUGGUUCUUCUGUCGCUCUGCUGUUUCCUUAGACUGAAUAUCAAGUUUAUAUGUUAAAUGAUUUCCCAUGUGAGCCCAAGAAGACUUCAAUAAACUCCCUCCAUCCCCUGAACACAUUUUAUUACCAUGUUAAAUUUUUUAUUUAAAAAUGUUACUGAGUUUUAAUCCUAGUUUUAGCAUAGUUUUUUCUCUUUGCUUGUUUAGUUUUGUCAUCUGUGUAAAAGGUGCUAAACAAAUAAAGCUGAAUUGAUAAACAGAA